AUUGAACGCUGGCGGCAUGCCUUACACAUGCAAGUCGAACGGUAACGGGCCUUCGGGUGCCGACGAGUGGCGAACGGGUGAGUAAUACAUCGGAACGUGCCCGAUCGUGGGGGAUAACGAGGCGAAAGCUUUGCUAAUACCGCAUACGAUCUACGGAUGAAAGCAGGGGACCGCAAGGCCUUGCGCGGACGGAGCGGCCGAUGGCAGAUUAGGUAGUUGGUGGGAUAAAAGCUUGCCAAGCCGACGAUCUGUAGCUGGUCUGAGAGGAUGAUCAGCCACACUGGGACUGAGACACGGCCCAGACUCCUACGGGAGGCAGCAGUGGGGAAUUUUGGACAAUGGGCGCAAGCCUGAUCCAGCCAUGCCGCGUGCAGGAUGAAGGCCUUCGGGUUGUAAACUGCUUUUGUACGGAACGAAAAGCCUUCUUUUAAUACAGGAGGGUCAUGACGGUACCGUAAGAAUAAGCACCGGCUAACUACGU
Molecule: ribosomal RNA, 481 nt
Filed under: uncultured bacterium
Lineage: Bacteria
Description: partial 16S ribosomal RNA
Rfam family: Bacterial small subunit ribosomal RNA
Source: RNAcentral